GAUGAACGCUGGCGGCGUGCCUAAUACAUGCAAGUCGAGCGAACAGACGAGGAGCUUGCUCCUCUGACGUUAGCGGCGGACGGGUGAGUAACACGUGGAUAACCUACCUAUAAGACUGGGAUAACUUCGGGAAACCGGAGCUAAUACCGGAUAACAUGUUGAACCGCAUGGUUCAACAGUGAAAGACGGUCUUGCUGUCACUUAUAGAUGGAUCCGCGCCGCAUUAGCUAGUUGGUAAGGUAACGGCUUACCAAGGCAACGAUGCGUAGCCGACCUGAGAGGGUGAUCGGCCACACGGGAACGGAGACACGGUCCAGACUCCUACGGGAGGCAGCAGUAGGGAAUCUUCCGCAAUGGGCGAAAGCCUGACGGAGCAACGCCGCGUGAGUGAAGAAGGUCUUCGGAUCGUAAAACUCUGUUAUUAGGGAAGAACAAAUGUGUAAGUAACUAUGCACGUCUUGACGGUACCUAAUCAGAAAGCCACGGCUAACUACGUG
This 497-nucleotide ribosomal RNA is filed under the name uncultured bacterium. Its description in RNAcentral is "partial 16S ribosomal RNA". It matches the Rfam family "Bacterial small subunit ribosomal RNA", at positions 28 to 507 of the family's 1533-position model. The record is from RNAcentral.